Molecule: ribosomal RNA, 322 nt
Filed under: uncultured bacterium
Lineage: Bacteria
Description: bacterial SSU rRNA
Rfam family: Bacterial small subunit ribosomal RNA
Source: RNAcentral
GACGAACGCUGGCGGCGUGCCUAAUACAUGCAAGUCGAGCGGACGUUUUAUUGGUGCUUGCACCGAUAAAACGUUAGCGGCGGACGGGUGAGUAACACGUGGGCAACCUGCCCUGUAGAUUGGGAUAACUCCGGGAAACCGGGGCUAAUACCGAAUAAUACUUUUUAACUCAUGUUAGAAAGUUGAAAGAUGGUUUACGCUAUCACUACAGGAUGGGCCCGCGGCGCAUUAGCUAGUUGGUGAGGUAACGGCUCACCAAGGCGACGAUGCGUAGCCGACCUGAGAGGGUGAUCGGCCACACUGGGACUGAGACACGGCCCAG